GCUCAACAGUCAUUUCGUGACCGGCGUGCUGACGAGACGUUCGCUACUAAAAAGGCGGUUUAGGUAUUGUUUUAUGACGUAAAAGCGUUGUUCUUGUAUGUCAGGAAAAAUAUUUUUUCCGCGGAUUUAUUGUUUUUACUCAUUUUUUAAUAUGUUUAUUAUUUCUGGGUGACAUAAGAUUUAAUAGAAAAUGCGGGUAAUAAAUAUUAUAAUAGUCACUUUUAUUCUAGCUAGUUUUUUACCUUUAUUAUUUAUUCAUGCACUAUGCUUACAAUCAACUCGAGAUAUUCAAGAUCAGACACGUGCUUCUGAAGUCGUGAUUAAAGCACUAGCAAUGAAUGUAUGGCUUGAACGUGAUGGUUUAUUCAGUGGUCAUUUUGCUAUUAUGACAGUCUACAAAGGCGCAAAAAUCAUCAAAGAUAUGUUGCAUAUUGCUGGGAGUGAUUUGUUCAACAUUAGCGACAAACGAAUAAACGUGACCGGAUUUCAAAAUAAUAAUUCGGGAAACGAAAAUUCAGCAUGUGGGAUUACUUUAACAGUGGGUACUUACUUUGUGCUGUUUGCGAACAAAAAAAAUGGCCGUAUAAUAACUAAAGAUGAGCAAGGAGGAUUAGUUGAAUGGUCAGAUGACAACGAAAGAUCUGUUUGGUUUGGACUAGGUUGGGGAGAUUGGAGUGAUUGGUCAGCAUGCAAUGUAUCUUGUGACACAGGUUUACAAUACAGACAUAGGAAAUGUAUAAAAUGUAGCCAGGGACAUAACAAAGAAAUGAGAAAAUGUAAUGAUUUUCCUUGUAAUGGUGUUAUGGAACUAGUGGCACCAAGUGAUAAUAUGCGGACAAUUGAAGGUAAACUUAAAAAUCUCCAAAAAGGGUUUACUUUACCCAAUCAUAAAAAGUUUCCAAACAAGUUUUCCAUACUUGUCAGUCUCAGAAUUUUACCAAAAGUAGAUUUUGGGACCGUGUUACAUUUAACUUCAACAUCAAAAUCGAUCAGAUCUAUUGUACUUGAAAUCAGUGGGCCAGAUCUAUUGCGUGUAUCAUUUAACACACCACAGUCAAAUAGGUCUGUUUUAAUUGCGUCUGUCUUAGCUGACGGUAUUACUCAUCAACUAGGUUUAGGGUUUCAAGGUGAUGAGGUUAUUGCUUAUUUGGAUUGCCGAUGGGUUACUACUGAAAUAUUAAUGCCAAAUUCAUUCGCACCUUCUGAAGAAUAUGACACUAAUAUUUUUGAAGAAUCACUGACGGUGGAUCUCAUACAACUACUUAUUGUACCAGACGAAACUGCUGUUUCAGAUCAAUGUACAAUUUUUCGGAUUGCAGAGCUAGACACAGAACUUAUCAAACCAAAAAUAAGAGACAAGUCUUACAAAAGUAAUAGCGGACUCAGCAAUGGAUUUUAACAGAAUAGAAGUAAUAAAACCCAGUUUUUCAUACAAAAAAUUUUGAUAGUUCGGUAUCAGCAUUAGGAUAAGUACUUAUUCAGUUAGAAGGAUUUUAAUAAAAUUAAUGGUAUUUAACACAGGCAGAGUUUACGCAUAUCAGUACGAACUGCACUUACCCGCGAACCAUACCCACUCUAUAAAUUAAAAGAAUACGUGUGAUCCGAAGUGAAAAAACCAACUGGAAAACAUUAACAAAACAGCGAUAUAUGUUACAGUAACAAUAAUUUGUAAAUAAAAAAAAACAUAAAUUUUAUAAUUGUUAAUAUUGUUAAUACUUAUUUCACUAUUGUUAUUUUAUCAGAAACAUUAAAUAAUUGUAUAGUUAAUGAUUAUGUAUAGAUGAAAUUUAUUAUAUACACUGUAAAAAUUCAUUGUUAAAUUUUUUUUAUCAAUAUUUGCCUAAUAAUAGUUUUUUUUUUGAUUCAACAAAAUAU
Daktulosphaira vitifoliae (grape phylloxera) is the source of this 1875-nucleotide RNA transcript. RefSeq lists it as uncharacterized. Lineage: Eukaryota; Metazoa; Arthropoda; Insecta; Hemiptera; Phylloxeridae. The record is from RefSeq and is a predicted model, not a curated record. The transcript has 10 exons.